This 194-nucleotide non-coding RNA is filed under the name Lysinibacillus sphaericus. The record is from RNAcentral. Lineage: Bacteria; Bacillati; Bacillota; Bacilli; Caryophanales; Bacillaceae.
AAUAUGCUAAAUUUUGGUGGUUCAAAUGAAUAUAUUUCAUUUGAUUAAAAGGGAAGUUGGUGAGAGUCCAACACUGUCCCGCAACUGUAUUUGGGAGUUAGAUAACAAUACCACUGUUUUGAUUGUCAAAAUGGGAAGGUGUUAUUGUAACGUUGAUCAUAAGUCAGGAGACCUGCCACUAAAGAAAGCAUCAA